GUAGGUGGCAAGCGUUGUCCGGAAUUAUUGGGCGGUAAAGCGCGCGCAGGCGGUUCUUUAAGUCUGAUGUGAAAGCCCGCGGCUCAACCGUGGAGGGUCAUUGGAAACUGGAGAACUUGAGUACAGAAGAGGAAAGCGGAAUUCCACGUGUAGCGGUGAAAUGCGUAGAGAUGUGGAGGAACACCAGUGGCGAAGGCGGCUUUCUGGUCUGUAACUGACGCUGAGGCGCGAAAGCGUGGGGAGCAAACAGGGAUUAGAUACCCUGGUAGUCCACGCCGUAAACGAUGAGUGCUAAGUGUUAGGGGGGUUUCCGCCCCCUUAGUGCUGCAGCUAACGCAUUAAGCACUCCGCCUGGGGAGUACGGCCGCAAGGCUG
Molecule: ribosomal RNA, 375 nt
Filed under: uncultured organism
Description: partial 16S ribosomal RNA
Rfam family: Bacterial small subunit ribosomal RNA
Source: RNAcentral